Molecule: ribosomal RNA, 301 nt
Filed under: Synechococcus sp. WH 6501
Lineage: Bacteria; Bacillati; Cyanobacteriota; Cyanophyceae; Synechococcales; Synechococcaceae
Description: partial 16S ribosomal RNA
Rfam family: Bacterial small subunit ribosomal RNA
Source: RNAcentral
UACGGACAAAGGGCAGCAAGUUCGCGAAGACAAGCAAAUCCCAUAAACCGUGGCUCAGUUCAGAUCGUAGGCUGCAACUCGCCUACGUGAAGGCGGAAUCGCUAGUAAUCGCAGGUCAGCAUACUGCGGUGAAUACGUUCCCGGGCCUUGUACACACCGCCCGUCACACCAUGGAAGUUGGCCACGCCCGAAGCCGUUACUCCAACCCUUGUGGAGGAGGACGUCGAAGGUGGGGCUGAUGACUGGGGUGAAGUCGUAACAAGGUAUCCGUACCGGAAGGUGCGGAUGGAUCACCUCCUAA